UUGGAUUUAGAAACUUUAAUGAUUGUUUGAAGGAGCUCUCAAACCAGGGCACACAGGAAUGGCGCGGCAGGUACUAUGGUAAAAAUUCUGCUCCCAGAGCCACACCCCGGGAGAAUUAAAUCAGUCUCUUGGUGUGGCCUACAGACAUGGAUGCUUUAAACACUCCCGAGUGACCGUAAUGCACGCCUCAGUCUCGGUGAGAGCCGCCCUACCUACUGGACCGGAAAUGUCAGCUUCAGCUUCGCCUCUGAGGCAAAUUCUCUGGCUGCUGCCACCUGCUGUGUCAGGAACUCUGGGAGGAGGGGCAGCUUGGAGUUUACCCAGUCCCCAGUUAUAGGGACAAGAAAAAAAUGUGUACUUUCAUGGGCAGUCAUCAUCGAUCUGACUCCACAGAACAUGAACAAACUGCAAAGGAAACAGUGCUCAAACGCAUGCUGGAGAAACGAG
Heterocephalus glaber (naked mole-rat) is the source of this 447-nucleotide long non-coding RNA. Lineage: Eukaryota; Metazoa; Chordata; Mammalia; Rodentia; Bathyergidae. The record is from Ensembl.